AGGACGAACGCUGGCGGCGUGCUUAACACAUGCAAGUCGAACGGAAAGGCCCUUCGGGGUACUCGAGUGGCGAACGGGUGAGUAACACGUGGGUGAUCUGCCCCGCACUUUGGGAUAAGCCUGGGAAACUGGGUCUAAUACCGAAUAGGACCAUGGGAUGCAUGUCCUGUGGUGGAAAGCUUUUGCGGUGUGGGAUGGGCCCGCGGCCUAUCAGCUUGUUGGUGGGGUUAAGGCCUACCAAGGCGACGACGGGUAGCCGGCCUGAGAGGGUGUCCGGCCACACUGGGACUGAGAUACGGCCCAGACUCCUACGGGAGGCAGCAGUGGGGAAUAUUGCACAAUGGGCGCAAGCCUGAUGCAGCGACGCCGCGUGGGGGAUGACGGCCUUCGGUUGUAACCUCUUUCAGUAGGGACGAAGCGCAAGUGACGGUACCUACAGAAGAAGCACCGGCCAACUACGUGCCAGCAGCCGC
RNAcentral lists this ribosomal RNA (473 nucleotides) under uncultured bacterium. RNAcentral's name for it is "SSU rRNA". It matches the Rfam family "Bacterial small subunit ribosomal RNA", at positions 26 to 518 of the family's 1533-position model. The record is from RNAcentral.